ACGGCCACACCUAGGCGAAAACACCAGUUCCCGUCCGAUCACUGCAGUUAAGCGUCUGAGGGCCUCGUUAGUACUAUGGUUGGAGACAACAUGGGAAUCCGGGGUGCUGUAGGUU
This 115-nucleotide ribosomal RNA is filed under the name Schizosaccharomyces cryophilus OY26. The record is from RNAcentral. RNAcentral also lists the same sequence under 1 other name. Lineage: Eukaryota; Fungi; Ascomycota; Schizosaccharomycetes; Schizosaccharomycetales; Schizosaccharomycetaceae.